GAUGAACGCUGGCGGCGUGCCUAAUACAUGCAAGUCGAGCGAACAGACGAGGAGCUUGCUCCUCUGACGUUAGCGGCGGACGGGUGAGUAACACGUGGAUAACCUACCUAUAAUACUGGUAUAACUUCGGGAAACCGGAGCUAAUACCGUAUAAUAUAUUGAACCGUAUGGUUCAAUAGUGAAAGUCGGUUUUGCUGUCACUUAUAGAUGGAUCCGCGCCGCAUUAGCUAGUUGGUAAGGUAACAGCUUACCAAGGCAACGAUGCGUAGCCGACCUGGUAGGGUGAUCGGCGACAUUGGAACGGAGACACGGUCCAGAGGCCUACGGGAGGCAGCAGUAGGGAACCUUCCGCAGUGGGCGAGAGCCUGACGCAGCAACGGGGCGUGAGUGGUGAAGGUCUUCGGAUCGUAAAACUCUGUUAUUAGGGAAGAACAAAUUUGUAAGUAGCUAUGCAGGUAUUGACGGUACCGAAUCAGAAAGCCACGGCUAACUACGUG
This 497-nucleotide ribosomal RNA is filed under the name uncultured bacterium. RNAcentral describes it as "partial 16S ribosomal RNA". It matches the Rfam family "Bacterial small subunit ribosomal RNA", at positions 28 to 507 of the family's 1533-position model. The record is from RNAcentral.